AACGAACGCUGGCGGCAUGCCUAACACAUGCAAGUCGAACGAGACCUUCGGGUCUAGUGGCGCACGGGUGCGUAACGCGUGGGAACCUGCCCUUAGGUUCGGAAUAACUCCCCGAAAGGGGUGCUAAUACCGGAUAAUGUCUUCGGACCAAAGAUUUAUCGCCUUUGGAUGGGCCCGCGUUGGAUUAGCUAGUUGGUAGGGUAAAAGCCUACCAAGGCGACGAUCCAUAGCUGGUCUGAGAGGAUGAUCAGCCACACUGGGACUGAGACACGGCCCAGACUCCUACGGGAAGCAGCAGUGGGGAAUAUUGGACAAUGGGCGAAAGCCUGAUCCAGCAAUCCCGCGUGAGUGAUGAAGGCCUUAGGGUUGUAAAGCUCCUUUACCCGGGAUGAUAAUGACAGUACCGGGAGAAUAAGCUCCGGCUAACUCCGUG
This 433-nucleotide ribosomal RNA is filed under the name uncultured bacterium. Its description in RNAcentral is "partial 16S ribosomal RNA". It matches the Rfam family "Bacterial small subunit ribosomal RNA", at positions 29 to 507 of the family's 1533-position model. The record is from RNAcentral.